Molecule: long non-coding RNA, 314 nt
Organism: Tupaia belangeri chinensis (Chinese tree shrew)
Lineage: Eukaryota; Metazoa; Chordata; Mammalia; Scandentia; Tupaiidae
Exons: 3
Source: RefSeq, a predicted model, not a curated record
CAUUUUAUAGCCUAGACUUGAAAGUCGCACACAUGGCUCCACUGUAGUCUAUUAGUUAUAUUCAGUCUCUAAAACCUUCCCAGAAUCAGGGGAUAGAGUUAAAACUUCUUGAAGAGAUAAAUGUCAAAGAAUGUAGAGAACAAAACUGCAUUAUGGGUGAAGAAACUGAGGCACAAUGGAAUGACUUACCCAAAUCACCCAGCUGGUGAAGAACAAAACCAGGGAUCAAAGCCAUAGGCAUCGUGUUUAAAGUGGAGAUAAGCAAUAGCAGCCUAACAGAUCUGGGAGAGGAGUUAGAAGAGAGAGCAUCAAAG